UGUCUGAGUGUGAGUGUGAGUGUGAGUGUGCGUGUGUGAGGUGCCAUUAAGAAAUGUGUCAAAACAUGUGAGGAAUUAUAUAAGCUAAAAUACGACAACAGCAGGGGGUAAGGAUAGGCAGAGGAUAUGCCAGAAUGCCACAAUGCCAGAAGCCGCAGAAGAAGACCUUCUUCCAUGGCGAUUACGACAAGGUGUCUGUGAUAUCGCCCUACGGAUGUUGAGUGGGAUCUUCUGGGACUAUGAGGAUGCAUUAGCUGCCUGCAGCCUGGACGCAUCCCACGCUGUCUGCAAAUAUUAAGGAAGCACAAAGACCUAGCUACCGGCCUCCACCUCAACGACGUCGACCUCAAGUUGAUUUUAAAUUUAUUUGUACUUGGAUGCGAACAACAAGACCUAGAUCUCGGCCUGGAAUGGAAGUAACUCCUGCAUAACGUCCACUAUUGACGCCACAGCACCACAACGUGUUCAUUUGCUGAUUCCAACGUUUAUUUACCAAUUCCGAUCUUGCCCAGGACCAGGACCCAGGACGGCGCUCUCCUUGCUUUAUUCUGUUUAUUUUUCUUGAUUUCGUGAGCAUGUAAAUUUAGUAAUUUAGAAAUGAAAUGAAGCAUGGAGGCCGAAGUAUGUAAAAUUAAGCAACUGAAAACAUACACAUAUUAAAAUCAGGCACGCCUUUUUAUUGGACGUGUUCGGAUCGGUCAGAAAUGUAUCUAAGUUCUUAUAUAUGU
This 728-nucleotide small RNA is filed under the name Drosophila pseudoobscura pseudoobscura. Its description in RNAcentral is "GA32692". The record is from RNAcentral. Lineage: Eukaryota; Metazoa; Arthropoda; Insecta; Diptera; Drosophilidae.